UGAGGAACAUGACCUUCGGCGGGGGAUAGCCGGCCCAACGGCCGGGUAAUACCGCGUACGACCACAUGGGGACAUCCCCGAGUGGUGAAAGCAGCAAUGCGCCGAUGGAGUGCCUCGCGGCCUAUCAGCUAGUUGGUGAGGUAACGGCUCACCAAGGCGACGACGGGUAGCUGGUCUGAGAGGAUGGCCAGCCACAGUUGGGACUGAGACCACGGCCCAGCCUCCGUAGG
RNAcentral lists this ribosomal RNA (230 nucleotides) under uncultured bacterium. RNAcentral describes it as "partial 16S ribosomal RNA". It matches the Rfam family "Bacterial small subunit ribosomal RNA", at positions 118 to 344 of the family's 1533-position model. The record is from RNAcentral.